RNAcentral lists this ribosomal RNA (702 nucleotides) under Amanita sp. RNAcentral describes it as "LSU rRNA". It matches the Rfam family "Eukaryotic large subunit ribosomal RNA", at positions 72 to 757 of the family's 3401-position model. The record is from RNAcentral. Lineage: Eukaryota; Fungi; Basidiomycota; Agaricomycetes; Agaricales; Amanitaceae.
GGAUUCCCUUAGUAACUGCGAGUGAAGCGGGAAAAGCUCAAAUUUAAAAUCUGGCAGUGUUUGUAGCUGUCCGAGUUGUAACCUAGAGAAGUGAUGCCGGUGCUGGACCAUAUAUAAGUCUCCUGGGAUGGAGCGUCACAGAGGGUGAGAAUCCCGUGUUUGAUAUGGACUACCAGUACAUUGUGGUAUGCUCUCAAAGAGUUGAGUUGUUUGGGAAUGCAGCUCUAAAUGGGUGGUAAAUUCCAUCUAAAGCUAAAUAUUGGCGAGAGACCGAUAGCGAACAAGUACCGUGAGGGAAAGAUGAAAAGAACUUUGGAAAGAGAGUUAAACAGUAUGUGAAAUUGUUGAAAGGGAAACGUUUGAAGUCAGUCACGUUGGUCAGGGAUCAAGCCAGUUGAAUUGCUGGGUGCAUUUUCUGAUCAAUGGGUCAACAUCAGUUUUGAUUGCUGGAGAAAAGUCGAGGGAAUGUGGCACCUUUUGGUGUGUUUAUAGCCCUUGGUUGUAUGCAGCGGUUGGGACUGAAGAAAGCAGUGCGCCAGUUGGCCGGGUUUCGAUCACGUUCGCACUUAGGAUGUUGGCUUAAUGGCUUUUAACCAACCCUCCUGGAACAACGAACCAAGAAUCCUAACUGGCUGGCAGUGGUUGGGGUGGAAAACCCUUUCGCCGUAAUGAAAGUUGAAGGUGAAGAUCCUGAAAUCAGAA